GGGCAUACUAGAUAGCCAUGCAUGUCUAAGUAUAAAUAGUAUACAGUGAAACUGCGAAUGGCUCAUUAAAACAGUUAUAGUUUAUUUGAUAAUUGAAUUCUACAUGGAUAACCGUGGUAAAUCUAGAGCUAAUACAUGCUGCAAAACCUGACUUUUUGGAAAGGUUGUAUUUAUUAGAUAUCAAACCAAUAUUCCUUCGGGUCUAUUGUGAUGAUUCAUAAUAACUGAUCGAAGCGCGGCUAGGCCGUGCUAAAUCAUUCAAGUUUCUGCCCUAUCAGCUUUCGAUGGUAGUGUAUUGGACUACCAUGGCUAUCACGGGUAACGGAGAAUUAGGGUUCGAUUCCGGAGAGGGAGCCUGAGAAACGGCUACCACAUCUAAGGAAGGCAGCAGGCGCGUAAAUUACCCAAUCCUGAUUCAGGGAGGUAGUGACAAGAAAUAACAACUCGGGGGCUCACGCCUUACGAGAUUGCAAUGGGUACAAUUUAAACCGCUUAACGAGGAACAAUUGGAGGGCAAGUCUGGUCCCCCCGUGCCCCCGCCCCGCCCGGGGCGCGCCCCGGGCGGGGCGGGGGCACGGUGGAUCUGAUUUGCUUUUUAUUGUUCCUCGUUAAGCGGAUUUAUCCACUCAUUGCUAUUUGUAUGCGUUUUCUCUUGAGUUGUUUUUUUUUCAUCUAUUUUAUCAAGGGUAUUAAUUCCAUUCAAUACUAAAUUUAAUAUCUUUUACUGGUCCUCAAAGUGUCCUCUUCU
This 748-nucleotide ribosomal RNA is filed under the name uncultured eukaryote. RNAcentral's name for it is "bacterial SSU rRNA". The stretch from base 3 to 545 matches the Rfam family "Eukaryotic small subunit ribosomal RNA", at positions 34 to 594 of the family's 1831-position model. The record is from RNAcentral.